Molecule: long non-coding RNA, 804 nt
Organism: Xiphophorus hellerii (green swordtail)
Lineage: Eukaryota; Metazoa; Chordata; Actinopteri; Cyprinodontiformes; Poeciliidae
Exons: 3
Source: RefSeq, a predicted model, not a curated record
UUCAUUGAGUCCUUUCAUAACAGCAGAGCUUUGAUGAGCUUUGUGCUGAUGGAAGGAGGAUCAGGAAUAGAGCAGAGGACCUGCUGAUCUACUGGUUCUAGUAGAUUUUAUAAAUGCAUGACUGAGACAAGUCAACAUCACUGGACCAAUGAGGAGAGAGAAGACACAGAGGACUGAGGAGACGCAGGAAAUCCUGCUGGGAAUCCAGAGAAGUUUCCUGUUGCAUCAGGGGGACAGCUGAGGACGAGACGCAGAAUAAAGAGACGGAGAUCAUGUGAAAUUCAAGGAUGGCCUUUCAACCCUGGAUGUCAUUUUUGCUUCGGAGCUUCAUGCUUCUGUGUUCAGGCCCUUUAUGUGCACAAGGGUGGAAAAGCUGACAUCAGAAAUGUUAGAGGAAAUCUUUGAAGUUCAGCUCAGCAAAAAGGACAUCACCAGACGACAAGAAGAAACCAGACUGCAAGGAUUCUCCUUGAGACAGACCAAACCUCGCUUUCCUGUUCAAACACUGUCAAGAUACCAAAGCCCAAAACAAAUGAUCAAUUCCAAAAAAAACAUGGACUUUGGGAUAAAAACUCUUUGGACUUUAUUAAGUUCAAAUACAGAAUCACAAAACAUAAAUGUGGAUGUUGGCCUGUGAAGGCAGAUGUUAACUUGUGAAACCUGCUCUGUUCAACUGUCACUACCAACUGUUAUGACUAUUGUUGAAAACUGUUGUAAUGCUUCAUUGUAUUUACAUGUAAAUAUUAGAAAUGAAAAUUUUUAUGUCAUCAAAAAUUGUUGCAAUAAAAAGUGACAUACUAUUAA